RNAcentral lists this long non-coding RNA (950 nucleotides) under Oncorhynchus kisutch (coho salmon). RNAcentral's name for it is "lncRNA (ENSOKIG00005009031.1)". The record is from RNAcentral. Lineage: Eukaryota; Metazoa; Chordata; Actinopteri; Salmoniformes; Salmonidae.
AACGCAUUUGCAGUGCAUAAUUAUUGAUGGCCAAUUGGGAGAUUAGGAGAUGGUCAAGCCUCUCAUGGAGGAAAUAGCUGCGUGCCAUGCUUAAUAUGCAGGUUGCAUGUUGGGAAAAUACAGGUCAGCCAAUGGGAAAGGAGGAACCCAAUGGGCAUACGUCGUGAUAAAGACGUCUUUUACUGGUUGAAAUCUGGUCGGGACGUCUUAUAACUAGAUCACAACCGGAUUAAGACAUCUUAUCAAUUCAUUAACACCAAUCUAUACAAACGUUAGCUAGUUUUAAGUAGCUAACGUUAGUCCUCUGGCUAAUCCUCCAUGGACAUGUUUCUGAAUCUUCUAGCUUGGAUGGGAGGAGGGAACAAGGGGAAGUUAUCCAGUCUGCCGACCAAGAAAUUUUCUGAAACAUAUAAGUGACCUGAUGCAUGGCCUCUACAGCAGUGCUUGGCCAGCCACUCAGUUACGAAUGACUUAUUCAGCCACAUUCCAGGGAGAGAGCAGAACCACCCCUCAUUCAAUCCAUAGUUACUGAAGAUCUGCCCCAUCACACCAGUCUUCAAGAGGGCCACUAUGCUCCAGAUCUGACCCAUCACACCACUCUUCAAGAGGGCCACUAUACUCCAGAUCUGACCCAUCACACCACUCUUCAAGAGGGCCACUAUGCUCCAGAUCUGACCCAUCACACCACUCUUCAAGAGGGCCACUACGUUCUAGAUCUGACCCAUCACACCAGUCUUCAAGAGGGCCACUAUGCUCCAGAUCUGACCCAUCACACCACUCUUCAAGAGGGCCACUACGUUCUAGAUCUGACCCAUCACACCAGUCUUCAAGAGGGCCACUGUGCUCCAGAUCUGACCCAUCACACCACAUUUCAAGAGGGCCACUAUGCUCCAGAUCUGACACAUCACACCAGUCUUCAAGAGGGCCACUAUGAUCUAUCACAAAUGUGA